Molecule: long non-coding RNA, 991 nt
Organism: Ictalurus punctatus (channel catfish)
Lineage: Eukaryota; Metazoa; Chordata; Actinopteri; Siluriformes; Ictaluridae
Source: Ensembl
UGAUAUUGGGUUAGGGUUAGUCAUGAUGUUGGGUUAGGGUUUCCCAGUCAAUGUCAUGAUAUCGGGUUAGGGUUAGGGUUAGUCAUGAUAUUGGGUUAGGGUUAGUCAUGAUAUUGGGUUAGGGUUAGUCAUGAUAUUGGGUUAGGGUUAGUCAUGAUAUUGGGUUAGGGUUAGUCAUGAUAUUGGGUUAGGGUUCCCCAUUCAUUAUGAUGAUAUUAGGUUAGGGCUGGUCUUGAUAUUGAAUGAGAAAGAUAAAAAAAUAAACUACUACCCUUAUUAGUAACUCAGUGUUACUAUUAUGAAACCAUUAUGAUUCUGUCCUAGAAGCCCCAUGGAGUCUCAUUAUAGACAUAAAACGAUUACACACAGUAAUGAUUUAAACACAUAAACACAGGAACAUAUUCAUUGAAAGACAGUUAGGCAACACCAUUCAUGAUUGCCAUGUCUCUGUCGAUUAGCAAGCACGGUAAACAGAAAAGCUGCACUUGUCACGAGUCAGCCCUUUCAUUCAAACCGAACAAAACUAAUGGUUCUGUCUUUUCUCCCUUCGUGUCAUUUUUGUACAUCGGUUGCCCAACGUUUACUUCUACUUCUAGUUUAUCCUCCAUUUUGAAGGCAUUUUGGAAAAUCAAAUGCUCAAGACCGUAAUCCACCUUGUUCGUGUUUAUUAAACCCUAUAUUGUAUUUCACAUCAGUCCCAGCCCAUGAUAUGUUAUGGAUGUAGUCACAAUGCAGGCUUGAAUGAAUUAGCCCCAGUACAUAUUAACACCAGGGGGCAUUUCACUAGGCUGUGUGUUUCUACAGUCUGGCCUAGAAAGAAAUUAGCCCUAGCCUUUACCUCCUCCCAUUCUGUUUGUUUGUACUUACCACCAUUAGUUGUACUGUUGUUUUUGGUCUCUAAAUAUAUUCACUUUAAGUCAUUUGUUAACACCAAGCCAUGCUAUCCCAUUUAGACCAGCCAGAUCUCGUGACAAUGGCUCAAUUAAUAGAA